This 331-nucleotide ribosomal RNA is filed under the name Clostridioides difficile. RNAcentral describes it as "bacterial LSU rRNA". It matches the Rfam family "Bacterial large subunit ribosomal RNA", at positions 534 to 864 of the family's 2925-position model. The record is from RNAcentral. Lineage: Bacteria; Bacillati; Bacillota; Clostridia; Peptostreptococcales; Peptostreptococcaceae.
GGGAGUGAAAUAGAACCUGAAACCCUGCACUUACAAGCUGUGGAAGCACAUUUCUUGUGUGACCGCGUACUUUUUGUAGAACGGGCCAACGAGUUACGUUAAGUAGCAAGGUUAAGCACUUAAGGUGCGGAGCCGUAGCGAAAGCGAGUUUUAACUGAGCGUUCAGUUACUUGACGUAGACCCGAAACCGGGCGACCUACCCAGGAGCAGGAUGAAGCGAAAGUAAAAUUUCGUGGAGGUCCGAACCCACGAGCGUUGAAAAGCUCGGGGAUGACUUGUGGGUAGCGGUGAAAUUCCAAUCGAGCCCGGAGAUAGCUGGUUCUCCCCGAAA